GGCUCAGAGCGAACGCUGGCGGCGUGCUUAACACAUGCAAGUCGGGCGCGAAAGAGGCUUUCGGGUCUUGAGUAGCGCGGCGAACGGGUGCGUAAGACGCGGGUGACCUAUCCGUGAGGCGGGGAUAACCCUUCGAAAGGGGGGCUAAUACCGGAUGAGCCCACAGGCAGAGAUGCCAGGGGGCAAAGGAUGCUACUUGAUAGUGGCAUGUCUUCAGGGAGGGGCCCACGGCCUAUCAGCUAGUUGGUGUGGUAAAGGCGCACCAAGGCGAAGACGGGUAGCUGGUCUGAGAGGAUGGCCAGCCACACGGGGACUGAGACACGGCCCCGACUCCUACGGGAGGCAGCAGUGGGGAAUAUUGGGCAAUGGGCGCAAGCCUGACCCAGCGACGCCGCGUGGGUGAUGAAGGCCUUCGGGUCGUAAAGCCCUGUCGGGUGGAAAGAACGGUGAGGAGGCGAAUAGCUUCUUCAUGUGACGGUACCACCGAAGGAAGCACCGGCCAAUUCCGUGCCAGCAGCCGCGGUAAGACGGAAGGUGCAAGCGUUGCUCGGAAUCAUUGGGCGUAAAGGGUGCGUAGGCGGCUUGGGAAGUCUGGUGUGAAAGCCCCGGGCUCAGCCCGGGAAGGGCACUAGAAACUGCCAAGCUGGAGUGCCGGAGGGGAGAGUGGAAUUCCUGGUGUAGCGGUGAAAUGCGUAGAGAUCAGGAGGAAUACCGGUGGCGAAAGCGACUCUCUGGACGGCAACUGACGCUGAGGCACGAAAGCGUGGGGAGCAAACAGGAUUAGAUACCCUGGUAGUCCACGCCGUAAACGAUGGGCACUAGGUGUCGGGGGUAACCACUCCCUCGGUGCCGCCGCUAACGCAUUAAGUGUCCCGCCUGGGGAAUACGGUCGCAAGAUUUAAACUCAAAG
RNAcentral lists this ribosomal RNA (910 nucleotides) under uncultured bacterium. RNAcentral describes it as "bacterial SSU rRNA". It matches the Rfam family "Bacterial small subunit ribosomal RNA", at positions 21 to 906 of the family's 1533-position model. The record is from RNAcentral.